GUCUGCUAGUGAGUGUUAGUGUGUGUGUGUUAGUGUGUGUGUGUCUGCUAGUGAGUGUCAGUGAGUGUGUUACUGUGUGUGUCUUACUGAGUGUGUGUGUGUUAGUGAGUCUGUUUGAUGUCUGUUAGUGAGUGUGUGUUUGUCAAUGAGAGUGUAUGUUUUGUAAGUGAGUGUGUAUGUAUGUCUGUCGCUGACUGUGUCUCUGUCAGUAAAUG
Non-coding RNA from Pelobates cultripes (western spadefoot toad), 215 nucleotides. Lineage: Eukaryota; Metazoa; Chordata; Amphibia; Anura; Pelobatidae. The record is from the annotation of a GenBank genome assembly.